RNAcentral lists this ribosomal RNA (616 nucleotides) under uncultured Legionella sp. Its description in RNAcentral is "bacterial SSU rRNA". It matches the Rfam family "Bacterial small subunit ribosomal RNA", at positions 242 to 849 of the family's 1533-position model. Lineage: Bacteria; Pseudomonadati; Pseudomonadota; Gammaproteobacteria; Legionellales; Legionellaceae. The record is from RNAcentral.
UAGCUAGUUGGUGGGGUAAGGGCCUACCAAGGCGACGAUCGGUAGCUGGUCUGAGAGGAUGACCAGCCACACUGGAACUGAGACACGGUCCAGACUCCUACGGGAGGCAGCAGUGGGGAAUAUUGGACAAUGGGGGCAACCCUGAUCCAGCAAUGCCGCGUGUGUGAAGAAGGCCUGAGGGUUGUAAAGCACUUUCAGUGGGGAGGAGGGUUGAUAGGUUAAGAGCUAAUUAACUGGACGUUACCCACAGGAGAAGCACCGGCUAACUCCGUGCCAGCAGCCGCGGUAAUACGGAGGGUGCGAGCGUUAAUCGGAAUUACUGGGCGUAAAGGGUGCGUAGGUGGUUGAUUAAGUUAUCUGUGAAAUUCCUGGGCUUAACCUGGGACGGUCAGAUAAUACUGGUUGACUCGAGUAUGGGAGAGGGUAGUGGAAUUUCCGGUGUAGCGGUGAAAUGCGUAGAGAUCGGAAGGAACACCAGUGGCGAAGGCGGCUACCUGGCCUAAUACUGACACUGAGGCACGAAAGCGUGGGGAGCAAACAGGAUUAGAUACCCUGGUAGUCCACGCUGUAAACGAUGUCAACUAGCUGUUGGUUAUAUGAAAAUAAUUAGUGGCGC